RNAcentral lists this ribosomal RNA (254 nucleotides) under uncultured bacterium. RNAcentral's name for it is "partial 16S ribosomal RNA". It matches the Rfam family "Bacterial small subunit ribosomal RNA", at positions 524 to 776 of the family's 1533-position model. The record is from RNAcentral.
UACGUAGGGUGCAAGCGUUAAUCGGAAUUACUGGGCGUAAAGCGUGCGCAGGCGGUUUUGUAAGUCUGUCGUGAAAUCCCCGGGCUCAACCUGGGAAUUGCGAUGGAGACUGCAAGGCUAGAAUCUGGCAGAGGGGGGUAGAAUUCCACGUGUGAGCAGUGAAAUGCGUAGAGAUGUGGAGGAACACCGAUGGCGUAGGCAGAUAACUGGCUCAUUCCUGACACUAAGGCACGAAAGCGUGGGGAGCAAACGGG